This is a non-coding RNA of Podarcis lilfordi (Lilford's wall lizard), 73 nucleotides long. The record is from the annotation of a GenBank genome assembly. Lineage: Eukaryota; Metazoa; Chordata; Lepidosauria; Squamata; Lacertidae.
GCACGGAUAGCUCAGUGGGUAGAGCGUGAGACUCUGAUUCUCAGGGUUGUGGGUUUGAGCCCCACUUUGGGCA